This 468-nucleotide ribosomal RNA is filed under the name uncultured bacterium. RNAcentral's name for it is "partial 16S ribosomal RNA". It matches the Rfam family "Bacterial small subunit ribosomal RNA", at positions 28 to 507 of the family's 1533-position model. The record is from RNAcentral.
GACGAACGCUGGCGGCGUGCUUAACACAUGCAAGUCGAACGGAAAGGCCCUGCUUUUGUGGGGUGCUCGAGUGGCGAACGGGUGAGUAACACGUGAGUAACCUGCCCUUGACUUUGGGAUAACUUCAGGAAACUGGGGCUAAUACCGGAUAGGAGCUCCUGCUGCAUGGUGGGGGUUGGAAAGUUUCGGUGGUUGGGGAUGGACUCGCGGCUUAUCAGCUUGUUGGUGGGGUAGUGGCUUACCAAGGCUUUGACGGGUAGCCGGCCUGGGAGGGUGACCGGCCACAUUGGGCCUGAGAUACGGCCCAGACUCCUACGGGAGGCAGCAGUGGGGAAUAUUGCACAAUGGGCGGAAGCCUGAUGCAGCAACGCCGCGUGCGGGAUGACGGCCUUCGGGUUGUAAACCGCUUUCGCCUGUGACGAAGCGUGAGUGACGGUAAUGGGUAAAGAAGCACCGGCUAACUACGUG